AGAGUUUGAUCCUGGCUCAGGAUGAACGCUGGCUGUGUGCCUAAUACAUGCAUGUUGAACGAAGCUAAAAGUGCUUGCACUUUAAGACUUAGUAGCGAAUGGGUGAGUAACACGUACUUAACCUACCCCCAAGUUUGGGAUAACGUUUGGAAACGAACGCUAAUACCGAAUACGUAUUUUUAUCGCAUGAUAGAAAUAUAAAAGGAGCUUCGGCUUCGCUAGGGGAUGGGAGUGCGCUACAUUAGUUAGUUGGUAGGGUAAUGGCCUACCAAGACUAUGAUGUAUAGCGGGGCCGAGAGGCUGAUCCGCCACACUGGGACUGAGAUACGGCCCAGACUCCUACGGGAGGCAGCAGUAGGGAAUUUUCCACAAUGAACGAAAGUUUGAUGGAGCGACACAGCGUGCAGGAUGAAGGUCUUCGGAUCGUAAACCGCUGUUAUAAGGGAAGAAAAACUUUAGUAGGUAAUGACUAGAACUUGACGGUACCUUAUCAGAAAGCGACGGCUAACUAUGUGCCAGCAGCCGCGGUAAU
Molecule: ribosomal RNA, 532 nt
Filed under: uncultured bacterium
Lineage: Bacteria
Description: bacterial SSU rRNA
Rfam family: Bacterial small subunit ribosomal RNA
Source: RNAcentral